GGGGAGGCGACGCUAGGGAAUAA
This 23-nucleotide microRNA is filed under the name Echinococcus granulosus. RNAcentral describes it as "egr-miR-10282-5p". The record is from miRBase by way of RNAcentral. Lineage: Eukaryota; Metazoa; Platyhelminthes; Cestoda; Cyclophyllidea; Taeniidae.